RNAcentral lists this transfer RNA (72 nucleotides) under Camelus dromedarius (Arabian camel). It matches the Rfam family "tRNA". From Rfam's summary of the family: Transfer RNA (tRNA) molecules are approximately 80 nucleotides in length. RNAcentral also lists the same sequence under 1 other name. Lineage: Eukaryota; Metazoa; Chordata; Mammalia; Artiodactyla; Camelidae. The record is from Rfam by way of RNAcentral.
GAGGGUAGAGCUCAGAGGUAGGGUGCAUGCCUAGCAUGCCCAAGGGCCUGGGUUCAAGUCCCAGUACCUCCA